This is a transfer RNA of 83 nucleotides. It matches the Rfam family "tRNA". Rfam says of the family: Transfer RNA (tRNA) molecules are approximately 80 nucleotides in length. Their secondary structure includes four short double-helical elements and three loops (D, anti-codon, and T loops).
GGAGUGCGAGCAGCAUAGGUGACUGCACUGGACUGUAAAUCCGGCGUCUCCCGACAUACGGGGUUCGAAGCCCUGGCACUCCA